AUUGAACGCUGGCGGCAGGCCUAACACAUGCAAGUCGAGCGGAUGAAGGGAGCUUGCUCCUGGAUUCAGCGGCGGACGGGUGAGUAAUGCCUAGGAAUCUGCCUGGUAGUGGGGGAUAACGUCCGGAAACGGGGGCUAAUACCGCAUACGUCCUGAGGGAGAAAGUGGGGGAUCUUCGGACCUCACGCUAUCAGAUGAGCCUAGGUCGGAUUAGCUAGUUGGUGGGGUAAAGGCCUACCAAGGCGACGAUCCGUAACUGGUCUGAGAGGAUGAUCAGUCACACUGGAACUGAGACACGGUCCAGACUCCUACGGGAGGCAGCAGUGGGGAAUAUUGGACAAUGGGCGAAAGCCUGAUCCAGCCAUGCCGCGUGUGUGAAGAAGGUCUUCGGAUUGUAAAGCACUUUAAGUUGGGAGGAAGGGCAGUAAGUUAAUACCUUGCUGUUUUGACGUUACCCACAGAAUAAGCACCGGCUAACUUCGUG
RNAcentral lists this ribosomal RNA (484 nucleotides) under uncultured bacterium. RNAcentral's name for it is "partial 16S ribosomal RNA". It matches the Rfam family "Bacterial small subunit ribosomal RNA", at positions 30 to 507 of the family's 1533-position model. The record is from RNAcentral.